Molecule: ribosomal RNA, 474 nt
Filed under: uncultured soil bacterium
Lineage: Bacteria
Description: bacterial SSU rRNA
Rfam family: Bacterial small subunit ribosomal RNA
Source: RNAcentral
GGGACGAACGCUGGCGGCGUGCUUAACACAUGCAAGUCGAGCGGUAAGGCCUUUCGGGGUACACGAGCGGCGAACGGGUGAGUAACACGUGGGUGAUCUGCCCUGCACUUCGGGAUAAGCCUGGGAAACUGGGUCUAAUACCGGAUAUGACUUCAGGUUGCAUGACUUGGGGUGGAAAGAUUUAUCGGUGCAGGAUGGGCCCGCGGCCUAUCAGCUUGUUGGUGGGGUAAUGGCCUACCAAGGCGACGACGGGUAGCCGACCUGAGAGGGUGACCGGCCACACUGGGACUGAGACACGGCCCAGACUCCUACGGGAGGCAGCAGUGGGGAAUAUUGCACAAUGGGCGAAAGCCUGAUGCAGCGACGCCGCGUGAGGGAUGACGGCCUUCGGGUUGUAAACCUCUUUCAGCAGGACGAAGCGCAAGUGACGGUACCUGCAGAAGAAGCACCGGCUAACACGUGCCAGCAGCCGAC